GGUUGGGCUGUUCGCCCAUUAAAGCGGUACGCGAGCUGGGUUUAGAACGUCGUGAGACAGUUCGGUCCCUAUCCGCCACGCGCGCAGGAGUCUUGAGGAAACCUGUCCCUAGUACGAGAGGACCGGGAUGGACGAACCUCUGCUGUGCCAGUUGUCCUGCCAAGGGCACGGCUGGUUAGCUACGUUCGGAAGGGAUAACCGCCGAAAGCAUCUAAGCGGGAAGCCCGUUCCAAGAUAAGGACUCCCACAGGGUUAACCUGGUAAGGACCCCAGUAGAUGACUGGGUUGAUAGGCCGGAAGUGGAAGUGCAGUAAUGCAUGCAGCUGACCGGUACUAAUAGUCCGAGGACUUGCCUCACAUU
RNAcentral lists this ribosomal RNA (361 nucleotides) under Actinomycetota bacterium. RNAcentral's name for it is "Actinobacteria bacterium partial 23S ribosomal RNA". It matches the Rfam family "Bacterial large subunit ribosomal RNA", at positions 2570 to 2925 of the family's 2925-position model. The record is from RNAcentral. Lineage: Bacteria; Bacillati; Actinomycetota.